CAAGUCGAACGAGAAGUCUGGAGGUUCAAGUUUUCGGACAAGAACUUUCGGAGGAAAGUGGCGGAAGGGUGAGUACAACAUGGAUAAUCUACCUUCAAGUUGGGUAUAGCUUCCCGAAAGGGGAGAUAAUCCCGAAUGUGGUGAUCCGGCGCCUGUCGGAGAAUCCAAAGGUGGGGACCGCAAGGCCUGCCGCUUGAAGAUGAGUCCGUGCACUAUCAGCUAGUUGGUGAGGUAAUGGCUCACCAAGGCGAUGACGGUUAGCUGGUCUGAGAGGAUGGUCAGCCACACUGGGACUGAGAUACUGCCCAGACUCCUACGGGAGGCUGCAGUCGAGAAUCAUUCGCAAUGGGCGCAAGCCUGACGGUGCGACGUCGCGUGGAGGAUGAAGGUCUUCGGAUUGUAAACUCCUGUCAUGUGGGAUAAAUGGCCAGGGCAUGAAUAGUGCCUUGGAAUGAUAGUACCACAGGAGGAAGGGACGGCUAACUCUGUG
RNAcentral lists this ribosomal RNA (490 nucleotides) under uncultured bacterium. Its description in RNAcentral is "bacterial SSU rRNA". It matches the Rfam family "Bacterial small subunit ribosomal RNA", at positions 58 to 507 of the family's 1533-position model. The record is from RNAcentral.